This 497-nucleotide ribosomal RNA is filed under the name uncultured bacterium. RNAcentral's name for it is "partial 16S ribosomal RNA". It matches the Rfam family "Bacterial small subunit ribosomal RNA", at positions 28 to 507 of the family's 1533-position model. The record is from RNAcentral.
GAUGAACGCUGGCGGCGUGCCUAAUACAUGCAAGUCGAGCGAACGGACGAGAAGCUUGCUUUUCUGAUGUCAGCGGCGGACGGGUGAGUAACACGUGGAUAACCUACCUAUAAGACUGGGAUAACUUCGGGAAACCGGAGCUAAUACCGGAUAAUAUUUUGAACCGCAUGGUUCAAAAGUGAAGGACGGUCUUGCUGUCACUUAUAGAUGGAUCCGCGCUGCAUUAGCUAGUUGGUAAGGUAACGGCUUACCAAGGCAACGAUGCAUAGCCGACCUGAGAGGGUGAUCGGCCACACUGGAACUGAGACACGGUCCAGACUCCUACGGGAGGCAGCAGUAGGGAAUCUUCCGCAAUGGGCGAAAGCCUGACGGAGCAACGCCGCGUGAGUGAUGAAGGUCUUCGGAUCGUAAAACUCUGUUAUUAGGGAAGAACAUAUGUGUAAGUAACUGUGCACAUCUUGACGGUACCUAAUCAGAAAGCCACGGCUAACUACGUG